CAGCAGCCGCGGUAAAACGUAGGGUGCAAGCGUUAAUCGGAAUUACUGGGCGUAAAGCGUGCGCAGGCGGUUAUAUAAGACAGAUGUGAAAUCCCCGGGCUCAACCUGGGAACUGCAUUUGUGACUGUAUAGCUAGAGUACGGCAGAGGGGGAUGGAAUUCCGCGUGUAGCAGUGAAAUGCGUAGAUAUGCGGAGGAACACCGAUGGCGAAGGCAAUCCCCUGGGCCUGUACUGACGCUCAUGCACGAAAGCGUGGGGAGCAAACAGGAUUAGAUACCCGAGUAGUCCCUGUCUCUUAUAC
Molecule: ribosomal RNA, 301 nt
Filed under: uncultured bacterium
Lineage: Bacteria
Description: partial 16S ribosomal RNA
Rfam family: Bacterial small subunit ribosomal RNA
Source: RNAcentral